UGGGGAAUUUUGGACAAUGGGCGAAAGCCUGAUCCAGCAAUGCCGCGUGUGUGAAGAAGGCCUUCGGGUUGUAAAGCACUUUUGUCCGGAAAGAAAUCCUUGGCUCUAAUACAGUCGGGGGAUGACGGUACCGGAAGAAUAAGCACCGGCUAACUACGUGCCAGCAGCCGCGGUAAUACGUAGGGUGCAAGCGUUAAUCGGAAUUACUGGGCGUAAAGCGUGCGCAGGCGGUUUGCUAAGACCGAUGUGAAAUCCCCGGGCUCAACCUGGGAACUGCAUUGGUGACUGGCAGGCUAGAGUAUGGCAGAGGGGGGUUAGAAUUCCACGUGUAGCAGUGAAAUGCGUAGAGAUGCGGAGGAAUACCGAUGGCGAAGGCAGCCCCCUGGGCCAAUACUGACGCUCAUGCACGAAAGCGUGGGGAGCAAACAGGAUUAGAUACCCUGGUAGUCCACGCCCUAAACGAUGUCAACUAGUUGUUGGGGAUUCAUUUCCUAGUAACGUAGCUAACGCGUGAAGUUGACCGCCUGGGGAGUACGGUCGCAAGAUU
RNAcentral lists this ribosomal RNA (547 nucleotides) under uncultured bacterium. RNAcentral's name for it is "partial 16S ribosomal RNA". It matches the Rfam family "Bacterial small subunit ribosomal RNA", at positions 355 to 895 of the family's 1533-position model. The record is from RNAcentral.